Molecule: long non-coding RNA, 804 nt
Organism: Pezoporus occidentalis (night parrot)
Lineage: Eukaryota; Metazoa; Chordata; Aves; Psittaciformes; Psittacidae
Exons: 3
Source: RefSeq, a predicted model, not a curated record
UUUUUUCCUUUUUUCUUUCUUUUUCAUUUUUUUUUUUUUUCCCCCUUUUCCCUUUGGCACAUGCUCUGGCUUCAGUUGUAUUUGUAACUUGCAAUCUUACCAAUAUGAUCUGGCAAUGCUAUCUGUCUUGAGAGAUCACUCUUCCCCCCGCUUGCUCUGCAACAGCCAGUUCACUCUUAUGAAACAUCCUCCUCUCAUCCACUUGGCUUUGCUCUGCAGAUUCAUGGGGUGUGAACUUUUGAAAGAAUCAGCUCUGCUUAUUCACAUUGAUAACUUUUUUUUUCAGCCAUGCCCCACUAUACCAAUCACUAGCUCCCACAUACAGUAAGAACAGUGCUGCUCAGAAGGCAGAAUGUGGGCUCAGGGCUGGAAGAAAACUCUUCUAUACGACAGUUUCCUCAAGUUGUGUACAGCUGGUGUAUUUGGAGAAAACCAGAUGGACUUCUGGGCACUCAGACCCUUCAUCACGUUCUGUUCAUCAGAAAUUAAUUUGCAAUUACAGCCUGGAGGAUGACCAAGAUUAUGUGAAUGUGUUACAUUAUAUAGUAUACUCUUCAUAUCCUUCUCUGAAAACCAUACAAGGGACAAAGCCAGUGAAUUAGUCUUGAUCUCCACCACAUUAAGCAAGAGCAGCUUCCACCAGGUUUUCAUGGCUGCCAUUGAUUUCCCUCAAGAAAAGAGGAGAGGACCAGUAAAACCUGCCUGCCAGCUUUCUCUCAGGUGGAAAAAAACAUGAAAUUGUGCACCUUCCACAUGCAUAUAGUCAUCUUUUCCAUUAAAAGAAAAUAAAAAUGCAUGGUAAUG